GUGGGGAAUCUUAGACAAUGGGCGCAAGCCUGAUCUAGCCAUGCCGCGUGAGCGAUGAAGGCCUUAGGGUUGUAAAGCUCUUUCGUGGGGGAAGAUAAUGACUGUACCCCAAGAAGAAGCCCCGGCUAACUCCGUGCCAGCAGCCGCGGUAAUACGGAGGGGGCUAGCGUUGUUCGGAAUUACUGGGCGUAAAGCGCACGUAGGCGGACUGGAAAGUCAGGGGUGAAAUCCCGGGGCUCAACCCCGGAACUGCCUUUGAAACUCCCAGUCUUGAGUUCGAGAGAGGUGAGUGGAAUUCCGAGUGUAGAGGUGAAAUUCGUAGAUAUUCGGAGGAACACCAGUGGCGAAGGCGGCUCACUGGCUCGAUACUGACGCUGAGGUGCGAAAGCGUGGGGAGCAAACAGGAUUAGAAACCCGUGUAGUCC
This 425-nucleotide ribosomal RNA is filed under the name uncultured bacterium. Its description in RNAcentral is "bacterial SSU rRNA". It matches the Rfam family "Bacterial small subunit ribosomal RNA", at positions 354 to 796 of the family's 1533-position model. The record is from RNAcentral.